This 484-nucleotide ribosomal RNA is filed under the name uncultured bacterium. RNAcentral's name for it is "partial 16S ribosomal RNA". It matches the Rfam family "Bacterial small subunit ribosomal RNA", at positions 30 to 507 of the family's 1533-position model. The record is from RNAcentral.
AUUGAACGCUGGCGGCAGGCCCAACACAUGCAAGUCGAGCGGAUGAAGGGAGCUUGCUCCUGGAUUCAGCGGCGGACGGGUGAGUAAUGCCUAGGAAUCUGCCUGGUAGUGGGGGAUAACGUCCGGAAACGGGCGCUAAUACCGCAUACGUCCUGAGGGAGAAAGUGGGGGAUCUUCGGACCUCACGCUAUCAGAUGAGCCUAGGUCGGAUUAGCUAGUUGGUGGGGUAAAGGCCUACCAAGGCGACGAUCCGUAAUUGGUCUGAGAGGAUGAUCAGUCACACUGGAACUGAGACACGGUCCAGACUCCUACGGGAGGCAGCAGUGGGGAAUAUUGGACAAUGGGCGAAAGCCUGAUCCAGCCAUGCCGCGUGUGUGAAGAAGGUCUUCGGAUUGUAAAGCACUUUAAGUUGGGAGGAAGGGCAGUAAGUUAAUACCUUGCUGUUUUGACGUUACCAACAGAAUAAGCACCGGCUAACUUCGUG